Podarcis raffonei (Aeolian wall lizard) is the source of this 256-nucleotide long non-coding RNA. RefSeq lists it as uncharacterized. The record is from RefSeq and is a predicted model, not a curated record. NCBI's taxonomy places the organism in Eukaryota, Metazoa, Chordata, Lepidosauria, Squamata, Lacertidae. The transcript is spliced from 2 exons.
CGUUAGGGGAUGUUUUGUCCCACUCAGGAGAGGACUUUCUGUUUCCUCCUGAGCUGGGACAGACUUGAAGAAGGUGCGGUCUGUUGUACUGGCAUGGAGGAGCGCACGGCCUCCAUGUUCGGAUCAAAGUGACUGCUUAGUCACAGUCACUUGGGACUCACUUCUUUAUGGAAUAGUUCUAGUUGUUAUGUAACCCAAGCCUGCCUUCAGGGAUAUGUCUGUGAACCUGAAUGAAUCUGUAAGUAAACUACUUUUA